GCGGUGAAUACGUUCUCGGGUCUUGUACUCACCGCCCGUCACGCCAAGGGAGCCGGGAGCAGGUGAAGCCCAGUUUUGCUGGGUAAGCUUGAGCUCGGUGACAUGGGCGAAGUCGUAACAAGGCACGGGUAGCGGAAGCUGUCCGUGGAUCA
This is a ribosomal RNA of 152 nucleotides. It matches the Rfam family "Bacterial small subunit ribosomal RNA", at positions 1359 to 1525 of the family's 1533-position model.